This 253-nucleotide ribosomal RNA is filed under the name uncultured bacterium. RNAcentral's name for it is "partial 16S ribosomal RNA". It matches the Rfam family "Bacterial small subunit ribosomal RNA", at positions 524 to 776 of the family's 1533-position model. The record is from RNAcentral.
UACAGAGGUGGCAAGCGUUGUUCGGAAUUACUGGGCGUAAAGGGCGCGUAGGCGGCCUUCUAAGUCAGACGUGAAAUCCCCCGGCUUAACCUGGGAACUGCGUCUGAUACUGGAGGGCUUGAGUAUGGGAGAGGGAUGUAGAAUUCAGGUGUAGCGGUGAAAUGACGUAGAUAUCUGGAGGAAUACCGGUGGCGAAGGCGGCAUCCUGGACCAUUACUGACGCUGAGGCGCGAAAGCAUGGGGAGCGAACAGG